GAGGAUAUAGCUCAGUGGCAGAAUGCAUGCCUAGCAUGCACAAGGUCCUGGGUUCAAGCCCCAGUACCUCU
RNAcentral lists this transfer RNA (71 nucleotides) under Camelus ferus (Wild Bactrian camel). It matches the Rfam family "tRNA". Rfam says of the family: Transfer RNA (tRNA) molecules are approximately 80 nucleotides in length. Lineage: Eukaryota; Metazoa; Chordata; Mammalia; Artiodactyla; Camelidae. The record is from Rfam by way of RNAcentral.